AGUGGGGAACUUUUUAUUGAUAAGAAAGAAACAGAGGUUUCGAUUGCAGAGAUGGUGUGUACAGAAAAAUCUUGGAAAGGAUCGAACUCCAAAUGUGUUGUGUUCAAACAUGACAAAACUGGAAAGAAAAUAGCUUGUAAAUGUAUUAAAAAACGCGUCUCUGUAAACGAGGUUAUAGCUUGUCUCGAUGUUCAGGAUACUAACACAUCUCCAAAAAUAUAUUGUAUUAAAGAAGAAGAAAACAUUGAGAUUUUUAUGGAACUUAUCG
Mytilus trossulus (common blue mussel) is the source of this 268-nucleotide long non-coding RNA. RefSeq lists it as uncharacterized. NCBI's taxonomy places the organism in Eukaryota, Metazoa, Mollusca, Bivalvia, Mytilida, Mytilidae. The transcript is spliced from 3 exons. The record is from RefSeq and is a predicted model, not a curated record.